Molecule: ribosomal RNA, 252 nt
Filed under: uncultured bacterium
Lineage: Bacteria
Description: partial 16S ribosomal RNA
Rfam family: Bacterial small subunit ribosomal RNA
Source: RNAcentral
UACGUAGGAUGCGAGCGUUAUCCGGAUUUAUUGGGUUUAAAGGGUGCGCAGGCGGCACGGCAAGCCGGCGGUCAAAUCGCGGGGCUCAACCCCGCCCAGCCGUCGGAACUGCCGGGCUAGAGUGGGCGAGAAGUGCGCGGAAUGCGUGGUGUAGCGGUGAAAUGCAUAGAUAUCACGCAGAACUCCGAUUGCGAAGGCAGCGCACCGGCGCCCUACUGACGCUCAGGCACGAAAGCGUGGGGAGCAAACAGG